Daphnia carinata is the source of this 1243-nucleotide long non-coding RNA. RefSeq lists it as uncharacterized. The record is from RefSeq and is a predicted model, not a curated record. Lineage: Eukaryota; Metazoa; Arthropoda; Branchiopoda; Diplostraca; Daphniidae. The transcript is spliced from 3 exons.
AAGGUGCCGUUACGGCUAACAUAAAAUAAGCAUUAGACUAUUCACGUGAUUCACAUCUGUUGUCAUCUAAUCCCGUCACGUAAACAUAGUCAAAAUGUCGCACACUUUGGCCUUGAACAUUAUUAUCUCCAACACAUUUUGUGCUGUUUUGCCUACCUUAAUCGAUUCGUGGUACAGAGGAAAUGUCUCGUUAGACAUUGGCAGUGACGUAGUCAGGAUUCCCGUGAGCAUUUGCUUAGAAAAUGUGUAAACAUCCAAGAACUUUAUCCCGUAUCACAUUCAACAAAUAAAGAAACCCACAUACCCAGAGACGCGGUAAUGGCUUGUGUAUUGAAAACUGAUGAAAAAGAAACACUCCCACUUUGACAAUGAGAAAAGUUGAUUACGCAAGGCAUACAGAGAUAAUUCACUUUUUUUCGUGGACGACUUCUCGGCUAGUUUGUGGCAAUGUCUGCUUCACCAGAUUGUUGUAAGUCUUGAAAGGCUCCUAAAAAGAAAACAGUUUCGUGUUGGGUGCAAGAAGUCUUUAAUCAAUUCAGCGGAGAAACAUGGCGGGAAAAUAGUUAAUUGUCAUUUUGUUUGUUAAUUUCAGUCGAUUAUCCGACAUUCUUUUCGAUCUUUUUGAUCAUUUGCAUGUUUUUGUCGACUUUUUACGUUCCAAUUUGUUUUGUUGAUCAUUUGCAUGUUUUCCUUGCCUUUUUGCGUACCAUUCCUCUUUUUUGGAACUCCCCUGAAUAUUGUUGUCCUUGAACCUUUUUUUUGUUGCUUUGACACGUGCCACAAUUCAAUUACUGAUGAAUAUUAUGCAAAAAGUUUGUACUCUUCCCCCCUUUGUUUCCCCACGACCUUCACAGCUUACGAGUUUCUUACCCUGCCUACCUUACAAACCUUAAAACUAAGCUUGAUAAAUUUCAUCAUUCCUUUGUUUUUUUUUCUAAAGUAGUCCCUGUGGACGUGCAGCAAAUUAUGUAAAUUUUUUCACUUGAAUGCAUUAAAACAAUAUUUCGAAAAGAUGGGAAAUAUGCAAAUUUCCACUUUACUGUCCGUUGCCUAAGCAAUGGCAAAUGAUUUGUUUUUCACGAUCUUUGCGCCUACCAAGGUUUCAUGUUACGUGAAGGACAACGUGACACACGGCCCGUUGCUCAUAGCAAUCAGCAAUCGAUUUUCUUCAAGAACCUCUAGGCCCAGGACGAAACGUAAACUGUGGAGAAAGGACGAAGUCAAUUAUACCAAGCUAUUUUUU